Molecule: long non-coding RNA, 204 nt
Filed under: Homo sapiens (human)
Lineage: Eukaryota; Metazoa; Chordata; Mammalia; Primates; Hominidae
Description: non-protein coding lnc-SMIM10L2B-1:10
Source: RNAcentral
GCGGCGGCAGCCCUGUCUGGCUUGGCGGUUCGGCUGUCGCGCUCGGCGGCGGCCCGAGGCUCAUACGGCGCCUUCUGCAAGGGGCUCACGCGCACGCUGCUCACCUUCUUCGACCUGGCCUGGCGGCUGCGCAUGAACUUCCCCUACUUCUACAUCGUGGCCUCGGUGAUGCUCAACGUCCGCCUGCAAGUGCGGAUCGAGUGA